ACUCAAAUGAAUUGACGGGGGUCCGCACAAGCGGUGGAACAUGUGGUUUAAUUCGACACUACGCGAGGAACCUUACCUGGGCUUGACAUGUAUCUGCAACUGAUGGAAACAUUGGGUUUUGUAGCAAUACAAACGGAUACACAGGUGCUGCAUGGCUGUCGUCAGCUCGUGUCGUGAGACGUCGGGUUAAGUCCUUGAACGAGCGCAACCCUUGCCGUUAGUUGCUAAGCGAAAGCAAGCACUCUAGCGGGACUGCCUUGGAAACAAGGAGGAAGGUGGGGAUGACGUCAAGUCCUCAUGGCCCUUAUGCCCAGGGCGACACACGUGUUACAAUGGCGAAGAACAAAAGGAUGCGAAGUCGCGAGAUGGAGCAAAUCCAAUAAAAUUCGUCUAAGUUCAGAUUGUAGUCUGCAACCCGACUACAUGAAGCUGAAAUCGCUAGUAAUCGCGUAUCAGAACGACGCGGUGAAUACGUUCUCGGACCUUGUACACACCGCCCGU
This 501-nucleotide ribosomal RNA is filed under the name uncultured bacterium. RNAcentral's name for it is "partial 16S ribosomal RNA". It matches the Rfam family "Bacterial small subunit ribosomal RNA", at positions 899 to 1397 of the family's 1533-position model. The record is from RNAcentral.